RNAcentral lists this ribosomal RNA (460 nucleotides) under uncultured bacterium. RNAcentral's name for it is "bacterial SSU rRNA". It matches the Rfam family "Bacterial small subunit ribosomal RNA", at positions 22 to 474 of the family's 1533-position model. The record is from RNAcentral.
GCUCAGGACGAACGCUGGCGGCGUGCCUAAUACAUGCAAGUCGAGCGGACCAAAGGGAGCUUGCUCCUGGGGGUUAGCGGCGGACGGGUGAGUAACACGUGGGCAACCUGCCCUGUAGACUGGGAUAACAUCGAGAAAUCGGUGCUAAUACCGGAUAAUAGAUGGAACUGCAUAGUUCCAUUUUAAAAGAUGGUUCUGCUAUCACUACAGGAUGGGCCCGCGGUGCAUUAGCUAGUUGGUAAGGUAACGGCUUACCAAGACGACGAUGCAUAGCCGACCUGAGAGGGUGAUCGGCCACACUGGGACUGAGACACGGCCCAGACUCCUACGGGAGGCAGCAGUAGGGAAUCUUCCGCAAUGGACGAAAGUCUGACGGAGCAACGCCGCGUGAGUGAUGAAGGGUUUCGGCUCGUAAAGCUCUGUUGUUAGGGAAGAACAAGUGCCUGAGUAACUGCAGGCA